ACUCCUACGGGAGGCAGCAGUGGGGAAUCUUAGACAAUGGGCGCAAGCCUGAUCUAGCCAUGCCGCGUGAGCGAUGAAGGCCUUAGGGUUGUAAAGCUCUUUCAGCGAGGAAGAUAAUGACUGUACUCGCAGAAGAAGCCCGCGUAACUCCGUGCCAGCAGCCGCGGUAAUACGGAGGGGCGUAGCGUUGUUCGGAAUUACUGGGCGUAAAGCGCACGUAGGCGGAUCAGAAAGUCAGAGGUGAAAUCCAGGCUCAACCUGAACUGCCAUUUGAAUCAUCCUGAUCUUGAGGUCGUAGAGAGGUGAGUGGAAUUCCGAGUGUAGAGGUGAAAUUCGUAGAUAUUCGGAGGAACACCAGUGGCGAAGGCGGCUCACUGGCUCGAUACUGACGCUGAGGUGCGAAAGCGUGGGGAGC
Molecule: ribosomal RNA, 415 nt
Filed under: uncultured bacterium
Lineage: Bacteria
Description: bacterial SSU rRNA
Rfam family: Bacterial small subunit ribosomal RNA
Source: RNAcentral